This 368-nucleotide long non-coding RNA is filed under the name Nicotiana benthamiana. Its description in RNAcentral is "long non-coding RNA (NBEN_LNC003289)". The record is from RNAcentral. Lineage: Eukaryota; Viridiplantae; Streptophyta; Magnoliopsida; Solanales; Solanaceae.
UAAAAUUGUAGAGAAAAGUUCCAGAUCAGUAUUUCCAGCUCUAUUGUUAGAGAUAAAGGUUUCUUGAUCCCCUCUCUAAUACCCCAAAUGACUCAAUUUACAGCAAAACUGUUAGGGCAUCAGAUUUUUACUAGUUUCUUUUUAGUCCUCAUCUCAAAUUGUAUUUUUUGCCUAAGUAGUCCUUCUAUUUCUGAAUUGUGCCUCAAGUUUGAGGCUGGAAUUAUAUAUUAGUCCCUGCUGAAAGGUUCUACAGGAUUCCUUAUCAAAUUUUUCCGAUUUUCAAAACCUUUUUAUACCCUCACUAACCUUCGUAAAUUACCCUACCCCCUGAAUUUGACCCCAGUCAGUUCUUUUAGCCCUAGUUCAGC